AUGGACUUGCCGCUAGCCCUCGCAGCUCUACUCCUCCUCCUCCUAGUGCUCCUCGCUGCCCCGCCGGCGGCGCUCCUCAUUGCCCUCCACCUGAACCGCCGCCGCCGCCUAACGCCGCCCGAGCCGGCGGCCGCGGCGCUCGAGCCGAGCGCGCCGGCCGAGGAGAACGAGGGCGGGAAGGAGAAGAGGCGGCGGCGCAGGGCGAGGCGGAAGCAGCAGCAGAAGCAGGGCGGCGACGGGGCCCUCUCGCAGGCGGCAGGCGGCGGCGGGGACGACGCGCUGCCGCCGCGGCCGCGGUUCCCGCUCGCCUCGGUGGCCGGCGCACUGCAGCGGCGGAUCACCGCGCGGUACGACGAGCUCGCGCGGGCCAGCCAGGCCCAGUCCCUCACCAUUGACCAGGUCCAUGAGUUUCUUAACACUCUUGUAGAUGCGAGGGACGAACUACUACAAAAGUCUGAGAACACCCGAAGAAGCAUCACAAUAAGGAAGGCCAUGUUAUCUAACAGUCGUAAUGGUAGGUCUUCACAUGACCACCUUCGCCUAUGUCAACAGGUGGGUAAGUUGGAAUUUGAAUAUGAAAGACUAAAGAAAGAUGCCAGCAUUUACCAUAAUCUUCAUGAGCAGCUUCAGCUGUCAUCGUGCUACAAACUGAUGGAGGAGAGCAACGAUGAAGCGGAGAAGAAAAUCCGUGAAGCAGCCUUCGCCAAAGGGGUACGCGAUACCGCUUUCGAGGACCUGCUGGCCGUGGAGAAGAAGGAUGACGCCUUCUGGCGUCGUCACGGGAAGCUGAGGUCGAUCUCGGACAGCAUGUAG
Molecule: ribosomal RNA, 813 nt
Filed under: Triticum aestivum (bread wheat)
Lineage: Eukaryota; Viridiplantae; Streptophyta; Magnoliopsida; Poales; Poaceae
Description: partial small subunit ribosomal RNA
Source: RNAcentral